This 787-nucleotide long non-coding RNA is filed under the name Cucumis sativus (cucumber). RNAcentral's name for it is "long non-coding RNA (CSAT_LNC000908)". The record is from RNAcentral. Lineage: Eukaryota; Viridiplantae; Streptophyta; Magnoliopsida; Cucurbitales; Cucurbitaceae.
UUCAUAUAAAUCAGAGGCAAUGCUGUUUGUUGCUUGAUGUUUUGAGCUUUGCUUAUGAUUCAGUGGCAGAGGAGAUGAAACAGAAUCUUCGAUUUGAAGAGAAGCAUACUAGAUGGAAGGUUUUGGAUCAGCCUUUGAGAGACCUAAACAGGGUAUUCAAAGAAGCAGAAUGGUAUAUUAGGCAAUGUUUGGAAACAAAAGAUUGGUGGGCAAAAGUGAUUAUGCUAUAUCAGAAUACUGAUUGUAUUGAAUUUCACAUUCAUAAUCUGUUGUACAGCAUUACAGUUGUCGUUGAAGCCAUUGAAAUGGCUGGGGAGAGUUCUGGUAGUGAUCAUGAUGAGUUGCUGAAGAAGAAACUAAUCAACUCCAUCAAAUACAGGAGAGAACACAAGGAUUUGAAGAUUUUCAAGUGGAAAUUUGGGAAACAAUACCUUGUUACUCAAGAUUUCUGUAAUCGGAUUGAGGCGGUUUGGAAUGAGGAUAGAUGGUUUCUGCUCAAUAAGAUCCGGGAAAAGAAAUUAAUGGCUUCGUCCAAGUACGAACAACGAUUAACAGAUCAUCUUCUGAAAAACAUUAAUGGGUCAGAAUCUUUUAAUGGAAAGCUAUUGCCAAGUUUAAUGCUAGUGGGAUCAAAGGAUUACCAGGUAAGGAGAAGAUUAGGGGUUGGGAGUCAAUAUAAAGAGAUUCUCUGGUUAGGGGAAAGUUUUGCUAUGAGACAUUUUUUUGGGGAAAUUGAAUCCUUAAUUCCAGAGAUAUCAAUGCUGUUAUCUCUUUCUCAUCCAAACAU